GAUGAACGCUGGCGGCGUGCCUAAUACAUGCAAGUCGAGCGAACAGACGAGGAGCUUGCUCCUCUGACGUUAGCGGCGGACGGGUGAGUAACACGUGGAUAACCUACCUAUAAGACUGGGAUAACUUCGGGAAACCGGAGCUAAUACCGGAUAAUAUAUUGAACCGCAUGGUUCAAUAGUGAAAGACGGUUUUGCUGUCACUUAUAGAUGGAUCCGCGCCGCAUUAGCUAGUUGGUAAGGUAACGGCUUACCAAGGCAACGAUGCGUAGCCGACCUGAGAGGGUGACCGGCCCACUGGGAACUGAGCCACGGCCCAAACCCCGAGGGGAGGCAGCAGUAGGGAAUCUUCCGAAAGGGGGGAAAGCCUGACGGGGCAACGCCGGGGAGGUGAUGAAGGUCUUGGGAUCGUAAAACUCUUUUAUUAGGGAAGAAAAAAUGUGUAAGAAACUAUGCCAGUCUUGACGGUCCCUAAGAAGAAAGCCCCGGCUAACUACGU
This 496-nucleotide ribosomal RNA is filed under the name uncultured bacterium. RNAcentral describes it as "partial 16S ribosomal RNA". It matches the Rfam family "Bacterial small subunit ribosomal RNA", at positions 28 to 506 of the family's 1533-position model. The record is from RNAcentral.